Molecule: non-coding RNA, 30 nt
Filed under: Rattus norvegicus (Norway rat)
Lineage: Eukaryota; Metazoa; Chordata; Mammalia; Rodentia; Muridae
Source: RNAcentral
UGUCCUCUCCUGCACCCUGAUUAAUAAGGC